GGUGCAGCUCAGUGGCAGAGUGCUCGCCUAACAUGCAUGAGGCCCAGGGUUCAAUCUCCAGCACCA
This 66-nucleotide transfer RNA is filed under the name Marmota monax (woodchuck). RNAcentral describes it as "tRNA.Val". Lineage: Eukaryota; Metazoa; Chordata; Mammalia; Rodentia; Sciuridae. The record is from RNAcentral.